Molecule: ribosomal RNA, 253 nt
Filed under: uncultured bacterium
Lineage: Bacteria
Description: partial 16S ribosomal RNA
Rfam family: Bacterial small subunit ribosomal RNA
Source: RNAcentral
GACGUAGGGCGCGAGCGUUGUCCGGAUUUAUUGGGCGUAAAGAGCUCGUAGGCGGCUUGUCGCGUCGUUCGUGAAAACCCACAGCUCAACUGUGGGCUUGCGGGCGAUACGGGCAGGCUAGAGUUCGGUAGGGGAGACUGGAAUUCCUGGUGUAGCGGUGAAAUGCGCAGAUAUCAGGAAGAACACCCGUGGCUAAGGCGGCUCUCUAGUACGGUACUGACGCUGAGACGCGAAAGCGUGGGGAGCGAACAGG